GCACGAGUGGCCAAGUGGCUAAGGCGUCGCACUUGUAUCUCCCACACGGGACCAAAGAUCGUUAUGCGAAGAUCGGGGGUUCAAUUCCCCUCUUGUGCA
This 99-nucleotide transfer RNA is filed under the name Aspergillus clavatus NRRL 1. RNAcentral describes it as "tRNA ACLA_097440". It matches the Rfam family "tRNA". Rfam says of the family: Transfer RNA (tRNA) molecules are approximately 80 nucleotides in length. Their secondary structure includes four short double-helical elements and three loops (D, anti-codon, and T loops). Further hydrogen bonds mediate the characteristic L-shaped molecular structure. tRNAs have two regions of fundamental functional importance: the anti-codon, which is responsible for specific mRNA codon recognition, and the 3' end, to which the tRNAs corresponding amino acid is attached (by aminoacyl-tRNA synthetases). tRNAs cope with the degeneracy of the genetic code in two manners: having more than one tRNA (with a specific anti-codon) for a particular amino acid; and 'wobble' base-pairing, i.e. permitting non-standard base-pairing at the 3rd anti-codon position. Lineage: Eukaryota; Fungi; Ascomycota; Eurotiomycetes; Eurotiales; Aspergillaceae. The record is from Rfam by way of RNAcentral.